Molecule: ribosomal RNA, 468 nt
Filed under: uncultured bacterium
Lineage: Bacteria
Description: partial 16S ribosomal RNA
Rfam family: Bacterial small subunit ribosomal RNA
Source: RNAcentral
GACGAACGCUGGCGGCGUGCUUAACACAUGCAAGUCGAACGGAAAGGCCCUGCUUUUGUGGGGUGCUCGAGUGGCGAACGGGUGAGUAACACGUGAGUAACCUGCCCUUGACUUUGGGAUAACUUCAGGAAACUGGGGCUAAUACCGGAUAGGAGCUCCUGCUGCAUGGUGGGGGUUGGAAAGUUUCGGCGGUUGGGGAUGGACUCGCGGCUUAUCAGCUUGUUGGUGGGGUAGUGGCUUACCAAGGCUUUGACGGGUAGCCGGCCUGAGAGGGUGGCCGGCCACAUUGGGACUGAGAUACGGCCCAGACUCCUACGGGAGGCAGCAGUGGGGAAUAUUACACAAUGGGCGGAAGCCUGAUGCAGCAACGCCGCGUGCGGGAUGACGGCCUUCGGGUUGUAAACCGCUUUCGCCUGUGACGAAGCGUGAGUGACGGUAAUGGGUAAAGAAGCACCGGCUAACUACGUG